This 20-nucleotide microRNA is filed under the name Ciona intestinalis (vase tunicate). Its description in RNAcentral is "cin-miR-4051-3p (mir4051)". The record is from RNAcentral. Lineage: Eukaryota; Metazoa; Chordata; Ascidiacea; Phlebobranchia; Cionidae.
CCCAAGGUCGAGGUGAUUGA